RNAcentral lists this ribosomal RNA (253 nucleotides) under uncultured bacterium. RNAcentral's name for it is "partial 16S ribosomal RNA". It matches the Rfam family "Bacterial small subunit ribosomal RNA", at positions 524 to 776 of the family's 1533-position model. The record is from RNAcentral.
UACAGAGGGUGCAAGCGUUAAUCGGAAUUACUGGGCGUAAAGAGCACGUAGGUGGUCGUGUAAGUCAGAUGUGAAAUCCCCGGGCUUAACCUGGGAACUGCAUUUGAAACUACACGACUAGAGUAGGAUAGAGGAAAGUGGAAUUUCAGGUGUAGCGGUGAAAUGCGUAGAGAUCUGAAGGAACACCAGUGGCGAAGGCGACUUUCUGGAUUCAUACUGACACUGAGGUGCGAAAGCGUGGGGAGCAAACAGG